Molecule: ribosomal RNA, 133 nt
Filed under: uncultured bacterium
Lineage: Bacteria
Description: partial 16S ribosomal RNA
Source: RNAcentral
AUGGUAAUGUCACGGCUCGCAGAUAUUAGCUACGAACUUUCUUCCCAUGUGAAAGUGCUUUACAACCCGAAGGCCUUCUUCACACACGCGGCAUGGCUGCGUCAGGGUUUCCCCCAUUGCGCAAUAUUCCCCA